Anas platyrhynchos (mallard) is the source of this 693-nucleotide non-coding RNA. Lineage: Eukaryota; Metazoa; Chordata; Aves; Anseriformes; Anatidae. The record is from RefSeq and is a predicted model, not a curated record.
CAGCCCUCUAAAAUCACGCAAAUGACUGGUAUAACUUUCUGCUCACAGGCAAUCUCAGCGCUGGCCGUUAAUAGAUGUUUUGCCACUAUUUUCCUUCGGAAGGAUGACGCCGAUCGUUCGCCCCUUUUGCCCGUGUCUUCCCGGCGUGCAGGAUGGGAGCAGCCCCGGAUAGUGGUGCGGCGGCCAACCCUCAGCCCCAGCUCCCGCUGCCGUGCCCCAUCGCAAGGGGCAUUUCCCCAAGGCCACCGGCUCCUUUCUUAUUUAUAUUUUUAUUUUAUUUUUAUUUUUAUUUUAUUUUAUUUUUAUUUUAUUUUACUUCAUUUCAUUUUACUUCAUUUUAUUUUUCUUUUUCUACUUUUUUUACUUUAUUCCAUUUUACUUUAUUUUACUUCAUUUUAUUAUACUUCAUUUUACCUUAUUUUAUUUUCCCUUAUUUUACUUUCCUUCAUUUUCCUGUUUCAAUGUGAUUUCUCCAUGGGGCAGCCCUUCUCCCCGGCGCAUCGCCUGGGCGCUGCCCUCGGCGGGUGCUCAGAAGGCGAAGGGAAGGGGCAGCCCCCCCCGGGCCGGCAGCGGCCCCGCUAUUUGCAUGGCGUGUUUAUAACGUGGUGGAAACCAAGACUGAUAUUUGUGGUCGGGAGAAGAUGACUUUCACCUCUCCGGAUCACUCUCUCAAAUAAAAAAGAAUUGACCAGC